Salvia splendens (bonfire salvia) is the source of this 2722-nucleotide long non-coding RNA. RefSeq lists it as uncharacterized. The record is from RefSeq and is a predicted model, not a curated record. The transcript is spliced from 3 exons. Lineage: Eukaryota; Viridiplantae; Streptophyta; Magnoliopsida; Lamiales; Lamiaceae.
UCCACCAAGUUUCGGUCUCUCUCUCUUACUCUUCUUCUUCAAGCAAAUCCCCAAAUUAAAACUUCCAACCCAAAACCCUAAUUGAGAAAUGAAAGGCUGCGCCUCCCUCAUCUUCCCUUCUUCUCUCCGGCGGUUUCACGCUGUCACGACAAAACCCCGGAGCUCCGCCGAUGCGUACACCAUCAUCUUCCGUUUCUCUCUCGGCUCCCACAAGUUCUCACCCUCAUCGCUGCCCAACGUUCUGCCCUGCUCCCGAUAUCAUCGUCGUCGAUGCCUCGUCUCGGCGGAAGUUCCGCCGUCGUGCUUGACUCGGGGCUGCUGUCCGGCGUGAUUCAAGGUGCAUGCUCCGGCAGCGGCUUCGCCGCCUCUCCUCCGCGACUCGCCGUUCUCCGACAGGUAUGCUGGGGACAUUUUAUUUAUCACUUUUUUUUGUUAUUUUCUAAAGUUUAAAUCUUGGAUUUAAGGGGUAAAUUCCGCGAAUGUACGUCAUGGGAGAUGAUAUCCGCCAUUUGUACCCGAAAAAAAAACAUUUCCAGUGAUGGGAAAGAAGCGUGAGUCUCUCACGUCUUUGAUAAACACGCAUGGCGCUCUCGCGUCUUUGAUUAAACACGCGUGACGCUCUCGCGUGUUUGACUUGGAUACAUGUUCCAGUCCAGGAGGCAGAAACUUCACUUCCACCUCGCUCACUCUCUCACUCUCAGCGACGCGUCUCUAGCCGGCGGAAAUUGAAGUGAAUCCGAUAUUUUGAUGCUCUAAUUCCUAUUUUAAGUGGUGUUAGGUUUGAUGGUGUUUGUGAGUUUAUAUUGGGAUGGGAAAAUUAUUCAGCUCCCAGGUUUGGGUGUUGCUUAUGAUCCCCCUUGUGCAAAAUCAUUUAUUAUAUUGAAUGAAAAGAUAUCUUAUUAUCAGCUAGUUUAAUGAUAUGUGAAAAAAUUGGAAUUGAUUUGGAUGCACAUACGAUUGAUUUAACAUGGAGGCCUGUGGUUUUUAGUGGCGUGGUGAAUUAUAUAGCUACACCAGUGGAUGAUAAUUUGUUGGAGUAUAUGUUUGCUGAAAAUCCACGUCAAAUUUAACUUUUUAUUGAAUAUACUCCGGUUACUACUGCGUUGCAAUUUGAACCACCUAUCACUCAUCAUGAUGUUGGAACGUCUAGGAGAGAUGAUUAUCAUAGUUUUGAUGUCGGGACAUCUAGGAGAGAUGAUGAAUAUCAUAGCUUUGAAUUCAACACAUUUGGGAGGGAGGUUGAUGAACAACUAGAUAUACCAAAUGUGACAUGUGAUGGUUAUGAUGGUUCAGAUGGUUCUGGUAAUUGUGAUGGUUCUGAUAAUUGUGAUGGUUCAGAUGGUUCUGAUAAUUGUGAUGGUUCAGGUGGUUCUGAUUGUGAUGGUUCCGAUGGUUCUCAACCAAGUGAUCUUGAUUAUAGUGCAGAAUCAUGUGAAGAUUCUACAGACGACGAGACACUUGAUAUGAUGGUUGAGAAUUAUGUACAACCAUCUGUUCGUGGGGAGCAACCUGUUCCCGACUAUGUGCCUGAAGGGUUACCAUUUUUUCGAUCAUUACCAUGUGAAGGCAGCCGAGGUUACUUGUCAGAAGACCAUGGAGUGGGUGAAGAAGAUAUGUGGUAUUGCGAUGGGGAUAAUCCGAGACAUAUAGAUGUGAGAACAAAUUUGAUAGCAAAUUGCAGUUGAAAACUGCUGUAACAUUAUGGCAUGUGGGAACAGGUCGGAUGUAUGAGGUUAUGGAUAGUAAAUCAAGAAGAUGGCAUGCAGUUUGUAGGGACCCAUUUGGUCCGAAAAGAAAAGGCAAGGACCUUGGGCAACGAUACCCAUGUAAUUGGAAGGUUAAAGCAACGUUUAAGAAACGCGAUGGUAGCUGGUCUAUCAACUCAUGGGUUGAUCGUCAUUGUUGUAUGGGAGAUCACGAUCCAAGUGAACAUGUUAACAAUGUGUUAUAACAAUGUGCUGGUAUCUAUGAGGGAACUCCCAUUUAGAGCUAUCAUUGAUAUUACAUUCUGGCGGACCAUCAACUGGUUUGUUAACUGAACGACUCUAGCCAAACAAUGUCAGACGCCUUUGACACCGUGGGCUUGGAAGUUAUUUCAGAAGAAUGGCCGUCGAGGGAGAUGUCAUCAUGUUAGGACUACAAGCAUAGCACGUGGAACUUAUGAGGUGCUAACCUAUCACAGAGGUCCGGGUAGAGGCCAUAAUAUACAUGUUGUAGAUUAUCGUGAAAAGAGAUGCUCAUGUGGAAAGUGGUAGACCUGGAGAAUGCCUUGCUCUCACGCUGUUGCGGUGCUGAGAGAACGCAGUGAUGACAUCUUUACUCAUGUUGAUUCCCGAUACCAUACAGAUGUUUGGAUUCACCAGUACGCAGCUGCGUUCCGUCCAUUGAGACACCAAGAUUAUUGGUAUGAACCUGAAUGGACGUUGGAAUGUUCACCAGCACGGCUACUUCUUCAUUCACGUGGGCGGUACAACAGAGGCAGGAUACACAACCAAAUGGAUGAGCGCGAAGAAGAUGCGCCAAGAGCUCCUCCUCGAUGCCACCUUUGUGGAGAGACCGACCACAAUAGAAGAAAGUGCACUUUAGGACGUAUUGUGUAGUCAUAUUAUAUUUGAGAAUCGUGUUUGAGGCUUGAAUUUUAUUAUGUUUACGAACAGUAUUUUAGAUUUUCUAACCAUGUUUAAGACUGAAAUGACAUUCUUAAGUAAUAUUGUUACGUAAA